This 945-nucleotide ribosomal RNA is filed under the name uncultured bacterium. RNAcentral's name for it is "bacterial SSU rRNA". It matches the Rfam family "Bacterial small subunit ribosomal RNA", at positions 338 to 1303 of the family's 1533-position model. The record is from RNAcentral.
CCUACGGGAGGCAGCAGUAGGGAAUCUUGCGCAAUGGGCGAAAGCCUGACGCAGCAACGCCGCGUGAGGGAUGAAGGCUCUCGGGUUGUAAACCUCUUUCAGCAGGGACGAUUGUGACGGUACCUGCAGAAGAAGGACCGGCCAACUACGUGCCAGCAGCCGCGGUAAUACGUAGGGUCCGAGCGUUGUCCGGAUUUAUUGGGCGUAAAGAGCUCGUAGGCGGCUCAGUAAGUCAGAUGUGAAAACUCAGGGCUCAACCCGGAGACGCCAUCUGAUACUGCUGUGGCUUGAGUCUGGUAGGGGAUCACGGAAUUCCUGGUGUAGCGGUGAAAUGCGCAGAUAUCAGGAGGAACACCGAUGGCGAAGGCAGUGAUCUGGGCCAGUACUGACGCUGAGGAGCGAAAGCGUGGGUAGCAAACAGGAUUAGAUACCCUGGUAGUCCACGCCGUAAACGUUGGGCACUAGGUGUGGGACCCCGUCAACGGGUUCCGUGCCGUAGCUAACGCAUUAAGUGCCCCGCCUGGGGAGUACGGCCGCAAGGCUAAAACUCAAAGGAAUUGACGGGGGCCCGCACAAGCGGCGGAGCAUGUUGCUUAAUUCGAGGCGACGCGAAGAACCUUACCUAGGCUUGACAUGCAGGGAAAAGCCGUAGAGAUACGGUGUCCGUAAGGGCCCUGCACAGGUGGUGCAUGGCUGUCGUCAGCUCGUGCCGUGAGAUGUUGGGUUAAGUCCCGCAACGAGCGCAACCCUUGUCCUAUGUUGCCAGCGCGUAAUGGCGGGGACUCGUAGAGACUGCCGGGGUCAAUUCGGAGGAAGGUGGGGACGACGUCAAGUCAUCAUGCCCCUUAUGUCUAGGGCUGCAAACAUGCUACAAUGGCGAGUACAAAGGGUCGCGAUCCCGCGAGGUGAGCUAAUCCCAUAAGCUCGUCUCAGUCCGGAUUGGAG